This 484-nucleotide ribosomal RNA is filed under the name uncultured bacterium. RNAcentral describes it as "partial 16S ribosomal RNA". It matches the Rfam family "Bacterial small subunit ribosomal RNA", at positions 29 to 507 of the family's 1533-position model. The record is from RNAcentral.
AUUGAACGCUGGCGGCAUGCUUUACACAUGCAAGUCGAACGGCAGCGCGGGCUUCGUCCUGGCGGCGAGUGGCGAACGGGUGAGUAAUGCAUCGGAACGUGCCCAGUAGUGGGGGAUAGCCCGGCGAAAGCCGGAUUAAUACCGCAUACGACCUGAGGGUGAAAGCGGGGGACCGAAAGGCCUCGCGCUAUUGGAGCGGCCGAUGUCGGAUUAGCUAGUUGGUGGGGUAAAGGCUUACCAAGGCGACGAUCCGUAGCUGGUCUGAGAGGAGGACCAGCCACACUGGGACUGAGACACGGCCCAGACUCCUACGGGAGGCAGCAGUGGGGAAUUUUGGACAAUGGGGGCAACCCUGAUCCAGCCAUGCCGCGUGUGAGAAGAAGGCCUUCGGGUUUUAAACCGCUUUUGUUCGGGAAGAAAUCCUCUGGGCUAAUACCCCGGGGGGAUGACGGUACCGGAAGAAUAAGCACCGGCUAACUACGUG